AACCAUCAGCAUAAACCGCAACAGUAAAGAUAAGGGAGAAAAACAGCCUGCCUAGGAACAACGAUGAGACCCAGCUUUUUCCAGACUUGCUUUCAUCAAGUGACUUAGGGAGAAGAAUUUGACCUUUCACGGCAUUAUUAAUACUGCAGCAUGAUAAUCUUGAACAAUUAAUACUUUUGAAGAAGGAUAUAACGGCUUCAUACAUGACUUGCAGAAGAAGACUGCACUGUGGCGGACAUCUGCAGUGAAUAUUUCAAAUACUGCAAACCAAGUUCAGCAAAAAAGCAUUCUGAACCUUCACACCAACUUCUUACCAGACUCAACGGGGAGCCAUCUCUCCCUAGAGAUUCAGCAAUUUUCGGAGCCCCCAUGCAGCGACAAAGUGAGUGCCAGUGAUGAAUGGAAGUGACGUCAGCAAUGACCUAGGAAGGGGGAGAAAGCGCAGCCCUUGACAGUCGUGGUGGCAUGAUGUGGACAGACAGCAGCAUCAGGAGAGCCGCAGGCAAACAAGGUCCUGGCUCUGCACUUGACCUGGUGUGAUAGCCAGCACUGCUCCAGGUCCUGCCGGGUGCUCCCACUGCUCCCGUGCGCCCUUGGCAAACAGGCCUGGACUGCCACAGCCGCUGAGACAGGACCCUGAAUGGACUACACACCUCUGAAAGCUGUCCUAGAGGGCUUUCCCCAAAACUCAUCCUGUUAAAGAGGAGGAGGGCCAUCAGCCACAUGAAACAGUAACCGAGGAACUGAAAGAGACUUUUGAAACAGUCAGGGAAUCAGCUUGAAAAGAAGUAAAAAAGAAGCAUGAGAAUUCAUCAUACUGGGGAGAAACCUUGAAAUGGAAACAGCAGCAGUCAAAACCAGGUCUGGCACUGCCAGAAGUUGCCCCACAUCAUCACAAGCUCUGCCGAGGCCACACGGAGCAGCCUCCCCGUGGGACAACACGUGGUCCUGAAGAAGCUCUCAGAUGGAAAUAGUUGAUACUGCUACUGUCAAAGGAGAAACUGGAAAUCUAUAACAAAGCUCAUCUUGCUAUAGCUAGAUAAACAAACUGAAGAGAUGAACACAAAUCCUUUCUUUGGGUAUCUAUUUCUGCAUCAGGAGCCAAUAUUUCUCUCUAGGAUUCCAUCUCUAAACAAUGAAACCCGUUGUAAUAUAAUGAAUGGCUCAGUAUUUCUCUUCUAAUCUUCUGAGUUACCAUUACUAUAUUAGCUAAUGUUUAUACCCUGUUUUUUUUUUCUUUAUCAAGCCUUAUUUAAAAGAAAAGAAAAAGGAAUUUUGACAGCUUACAUGCACUGUCCAGUCACCUUUGUAUUUUAUGAAAAUCUGAAAAUCUGAAAAUCCAUUAGUAAAUUUGGAAAACACA
Molecule: long non-coding RNA, 1363 nt
Organism: Dromaius novaehollandiae (emu)
Lineage: Eukaryota; Metazoa; Chordata; Aves; Casuariiformes; Dromaiidae
Exons: 6
Source: RefSeq, a predicted model, not a curated record